UGGUGCUUGCAUCAUGAUUUACAUUUGAGUGAGUGGCGAACUGGUGAGUAACACGUGGGAAACCUGCCCAGAAGCGGGGGAUAACACCUGGAAACAGAUGCUAAUACCGCAUAACAACUUGGACCGCAUGGUCCGAGUUUGAAAGAUGGCUUCGGCUAUCACUUUUGGAUGGUCCCGCGGCGUAUUAGCUAGAUGGUGGGGUAACGGCUCACCAUGGCAAUGAUACGUAGCCGACCUGAGAGGGUAAUCGGCCACAUUGGGACUGAGACACGGCCCAAACUCCUACGGGAGGCAGCAGUAGGGAAUCUUCCACAAUGGACGAAAGUCUGAUGGAGCAACGCCGCGUGAGUGAAGAAGGGUUUCGGCUCGUAAAACUCUGUUGUUAAAGAAGAACAUAUCUGAGAGUAACUGUUCAGGUAUUGACGGUAUUUAACCAGAAAGCCACGGCUAACUACGUGCCAGCAGCCGCGGUAAUACGUAGGUGGCAAGCGUUGUCCGGAUUUAUUGGGCGUAAAGCGAGCGCAGGCGGUUUUUUAAGUCUGAUGUGAAAGCCUUCGGCUCAACCGAAGAAGUGCAUCGGAAACUGGGAAACUUGAGUGCAGAAGAGGACAGUGGAACUCCAUGUGUAGCGGUGAAAUGCGUAGAUAUAUGGAAGAACACCAGUGGCGAAGGCGGCUGUCUGGUCUGUAACUGACGCUGAGGCUCGAAAGUAUGGGUAGCAAACAGGAUUAGAUACCCUGGUAGUCCAUACCGUAAACGAUGAAUGCUAAGUGUUGGAGGGUUUCCGCCCUUCAGUGCUGCAGCUAACGCAUUAAGCAUUCCGCCUGGGGAGUACGGCCGCAAGGCUGAAACUCAAAGGAAUUGACGGGGGCCCGCACAAGCGGUGGAGCAUGUGGUUUAAUUCGAAGCUACGCGAAGAACCUUACCAGGUCUUGACAUACUAUGCAAAUGUAAGAGAUUAGACGUUCCCUUCGGGGACAUGGAUACAGGUGGUGCAUGGUUGUCGUCAGCUCGUGUCGUGAGAUGUUGGGUUAAGUCCCGCAACGAGCGCAACCCUUAUUAUCAGUUGCCAGCAUUAAGUUGGGCACUCUGGUGAGACUGCCGGUGACAAACCGGAGGAAGGUGGGGAUGACGUCAAAUCAUCAUGCCCCUUAUGACCUGGGCUACACACGUGCUACAAUGGAUGGUACAACGAGUUGCGAACUCGCGAGAGUAAGCUAAUCUCUUAAAGCCAUUCUCAGUUCGGAUUGUAGGCUGCAACUCGCCUACAUGAAGUCGGAAUCGCUAGUAAUCGCGGAUCAGCAUGCCGCGGUGAAUACGUUCCCGGGCCUUGUACACACCGCCCGUCACACCAUGAGAGUUUGUAACACCCAAAGUCGGUGGGGUAACCUUUUAGGAACCAGCCGCCUAAGGUGGGACAGAUG
Molecule: ribosomal RNA, 1424 nt
Filed under: Lactiplantibacillus plantarum
Lineage: Bacteria; Bacillati; Bacillota; Bacilli; Lactobacillales; Lactobacillaceae
Description: bacterial SSU rRNA
Rfam family: Bacterial small subunit ribosomal RNA
Source: RNAcentral